Molecule: ribosomal RNA, 425 nt
Filed under: uncultured bacterium
Lineage: Bacteria
Description: partial 16S ribosomal RNA
Rfam family: Bacterial small subunit ribosomal RNA
Source: RNAcentral
GUUAGGAAUAUUGGACAAUGGGCGCAAGCCUGAUCCAGCCAUGCCGCGUGAGUGAUGAAGGCCUUCGGGUUGUAAAGCUCUUUAGCCGAUGAUUAUAAUGACUGUAGUCGGAAAAUAAGCCCCGGCUAACUUCGUGCCAGCAGCCGCGGUAAUACGAAGGGGGCGAGCGUUAUUCGGAAUCACUGGGCGUAAAGCGUGCGUAGGCGGCUUUGCAAGUUGGGAGUGAAAGCCAAGGGCUCAACCCUGGAAUUGCUCUCAAAACUGCAAGGCUCGAAUUCGGGAGAGGAUAGCGGAAUUGUCAGUGUAGCAGUGAAAUGCGUAGAUAUUGACAGGAACACCAGUGGCGUAAGCGGCUAUCUGGACGAGUAUUGACGCUGGGGCACGAAAGCGUGGGGAUCAAACAGGAUUAGAAACCCGGGUAGUCC